This 69-nucleotide transfer RNA is filed under the name Podarcis lilfordi (Lilford's wall lizard). Its description in RNAcentral is "tRNA.Lys". The record is from RNAcentral. Lineage: Eukaryota; Metazoa; Chordata; Lepidosauria; Squamata; Lacertidae.
GGAUAGCUCAGUCCGUAGAGCAGGAGACGCUUAAUCUCAGGGUUGUGGGUUUGAGCCCCACGUUGGGCA